UACUAUACUGAAUAGCAAGAGAAAACUGGAAUAUUAUAAGAUAAAGUCUUUAAAUUCAAAGAAUUUGGCGGUAAUUUAGUCUUUCCAGAGGAACCUGUUUUUUAAUCGAUAAACCACGAAGAAUCUUACUUGUCUUAUUUUAAGAGUUUGUAUACCGUCAUUAUCAGAUAAUAUUUAAAGAUCAAUUAUUAAACUUUAAAAAAUAAAAAAAAUUAGAUCAAGGUGCAGCUUAUAGAUAAGUUAAAAUGGGUUACAAUUAAGUAAAUAUAAUCAUGAAAUAAGAUUUGAAAGCAAUCUUAGGAAGGAGGAUUUGGUUGUAAAAGGAAUUAGUAUGGUAAAAAGAUAUAAGCUCUAAAUUAU
Molecule: ribosomal RNA, 360 nt
Filed under: Amphithrax hemphilli
Lineage: Eukaryota; Metazoa; Arthropoda; Malacostraca; Decapoda; Mithracidae
Description: partial 12S ribosomal RNA
Source: RNAcentral